This 213-nucleotide unclassified non-coding RNA is filed under the name Glomeraceae sp. RNAcentral describes it as "partial contains 5.8S ribosomal RNA and internal transcribed spacer 2". The stretch from base 1 to 71 matches the Rfam family "5.8S ribosomal RNA", at positions 84 to 154 of the family's 154-position model. Lineage: Eukaryota; Fungi; Glomeromycota; Glomeromycetes; Glomerales; Glomeraceae. The record is from RNAcentral.
GUGAAUCAUCAAAUUUUUGAACGCAAAUUGCGCUCCCUGGCAUCCCGGGAAGUAUGCCUGUUUGAGGGUCAGUAUUAACAAAAAAUCGGGUGGUUUGCAACUUGUGACGUUUCCGGAGGUUGGGCUAUCUUAACUUUUUUGGUUAAGGGGCUUAAAAUUGACCUUUUUUGCGCAUUUUUAGACGUACAUAAAUUUUUUUUUAUUCGUCUAUUC